GCGCAGCAGGCGAGAAUACUUUACAAUGUGCGAAAGCACGAUAAGGGAACUCUGAGUGCCUCCUAAGGAGGCUGUUCAGGUGUCUAAAAGCACCUGAAGGAAGGGCUGGGUAAGACCGGUGCCAGCCGCCGCGGUAACACCGGCAGCCCAAGUGGUAGCCACGUUUAUUGGGUCUAAAGCGUCCGUAGCCGGCUGGGUAAGUUCCUUGGGAAAUUUGGCUGCUUAACAGUCAAGCUUUCAGGGAAUACUGCCCGGCUUGGGGACCGGGAGAGGUCAGAGGUACUCCAGGGGUAGGGUGAAAUCCAUUAAUCCUUGGGGGACCACCGGUAGCGAAGGCGUCUGACCAGACCGGGUCCGACGGUGAGGGACGAAGGCUAGGGGCGCG
This 385-nucleotide ribosomal RNA is filed under the name uncultured microorganism. RNAcentral describes it as "bacterial SSU rRNA". It matches the Rfam family "Archaeal small subunit ribosomal RNA", at positions 330 to 721 of the family's 1478-position model. The record is from RNAcentral.